GAUGAAGAACGUAGCGAAAUGCGAUAAGUAAUGUGAAUUGCAGAAUUCAGUGAAUCAUCGAAUCUUUGAACGCACAUUGCGCCCCCUGGUAUUCCGGGGGGCAUGCCUGUCCGAGCGUCAUUGCUGCCCUCAAGCCCGGCUUGUGUGUUGGGUCUCGUCCCCCUUCCCGGGGGGACGGGCCCGAAAGGCAGCGGCGGCACCGCGUCCGGUCCUCGAGCGUAUGGGGCUUUGUCACCCGCUCUGUAGGCCCGGACGGCGCUUGCCGAUCAACCAAAACUUUUUUCCAGGUUGACCUCGGAUCAGGUAGGGAUACCCGCUGAACUUAAGCAUAUCAAUAAGCGGAGGA
Molecule: unclassified non-coding RNA, 346 nt
Filed under: soil metagenome
Description: partial contains 5.8S ribosomal RNA, internal transcribed spacer 2, and large subunit ribosomal RNA
Rfam family: 5.8S ribosomal RNA (bases 1-120)
Source: RNAcentral